AUUUUAGGUUAAUAUAAUGUUCUCUAGUGGAUAUUAAACAAAUUAUGACAUAAAAACCUUAUUUUUUCCAUCGAACACAUUCUUGAAAAAAAGUGAACAAUAUUGUUUCCACAGUUAAAUUAUUUUGACUUUUAUCUUCCAUACGGUUUUGAAAGCUUUCAAAUCAACCAUCGAAUUAAUACAUGUCAUUUUAAUGUUUUUAUUCGUAUACUUAAGGAAAACUUACAUUUUUGUAAUUUAAAGUCGUUUUAAAAAAUUCAAAAUAUAACAUAUAAGGAAAAAUCUAACAUAUAAGAAAAAUAUAACAUAUAAGGUGUCCUCAUUUUUGUAUUUUAAAGUCGUUUUAAAAAAUAUAUAACAUAUAAGGUUUCUUCAU
RNAcentral lists this long non-coding RNA (376 nucleotides) under Brassica napus (rape). RNAcentral's name for it is "long non-coding RNA (BNAP_LNC026560)". Lineage: Eukaryota; Viridiplantae; Streptophyta; Magnoliopsida; Brassicales; Brassicaceae. The record is from RNAcentral.